Molecule: long non-coding RNA, 1614 nt
Organism: Ctenopharyngodon idella (grass carp)
Lineage: Eukaryota; Metazoa; Chordata; Actinopteri; Cypriniformes; Xenocyprididae
Exons: 3
Source: RefSeq, a predicted model, not a curated record
GCAGCACGCGACCUGUUUCAGCUCUAGCAUUGCGCAUCCUCGUACUGUCGACUGUACUAUCGAGUUUAUACUGAAUUGACAUUUUGGACUAUAAAGUCAUACAGAGCUCAGGGUGGGCCCACAUCCAGGACCGGUCCUCAUCACUGUCCCAAUGGAGGGCUAUCCCAAGCCUGAGGCCAUCGCCCCCUCCUCCCUCUUCCCUGCAUCUACCUCAGGAGGAUGUUCUAUUUUUGACAGGACUACGUGUUGAUCUGUGGCCUGGCAAAGGAAAAAAACAGUAUUUUUUUUUAUGUGCCAGCACUCUUCCUGAGGCGCAGCAGCACAGCCCACAUCUGUCACUCCUACAUAAAACAGCAUGUCAUCAUGAGUAGUAUGCAGUCACCCUCCAUCUCAAACAUAUUGUACCUUCCCAGGCCACGAGGCCCCCGUAAGACCCCCUCACCCCCACCUCGCUUCAUAGCUUGUGGAUGUUUUCCUCUCUUGUAAUGUUUGUGCAGAUCAUCACCCAUCACCUGAUUCAUGAUGUGUCACUUUUUGUCUGGUUGGACUUGUACACUUGGCCUUGGCAGUUAGUUUUUAAACUAGAUGAGAUUUUUUCAUGUCAUCUGGGAUUUGAACGGUCAGGUUCUGUGGCACGACAGCGCUGACAAAUAAAAUGGCAGGAUUUUAUUUUAAUUUCACUCACACUGACCCCAAUUGUGAUGGCACUUCCCUGAAUUCAUAAAUGUUUGUAAAAAGCUUUUUAGAUUUACCCACCACUUCUACACAUUUCUUUUUAUUGCACUAUAUUUGAUUUGCACAUUGACAAGGACAAAAGGGCUUAUAUUUUAAUCAUUUGAAUGUUUUUCUUGCAAGGCAAGAAAUUUUACUGUGAGAGUUAAAUGUAUGUUUUGUGAAUACUUUAAUGGGAACAGAAGAUUCUUGGUGGCAGCCGUGAAUAUUCAUGCUUGUUCCUUCGAAGAAACACUCCACCUCAGGCCUUACAAUAUGACACAUUUCCAGCUGUCUUGCUGCCGAUAGGGCAUCUGCGUGUUAUGGGUUAAGCUGAUCUUCAAGCUAGAUGAGUAAUUAAUUUAUUUACUCAUUAAAGAGGAGAAGUAUUUAAAAGAAUAUGGCUAUUUUCAGUUUUGUGCCUCACAAGAUUAAGUAAAAUGCUAAUCAUUGUGUUGUCACAUACAGAAGCUGACAGUCUCACAAAAGUGAUAAGUGAAUCGCACAAAACCUGUCAAGUCAAAAGAGAGGGAAAAAAAAGGGUAACACUUUAAUAUGGGGAAUACAUAUUCACUAUUAACUAUGACUUUUCCCUCAAUAAACUUCUAAUUUACUGCUUAUUAAGAGUUAAAGGGUUAUUUCACCCAAAAAUGAAAAUUCUGUAAAUUCUGUUCUCACCCUCAUGUCGUUCCACACCUGUAAGACCUUCGUUCAUCUUCGGAACACAAAUUAAGAUAUUUUUGAUGAAAUCCGAGAGGUGUAUGACUCGUCCAUAGACAGCAAUAUAAUCAACACUUUCAAGGUCCAGAAAGGUACUAAAGACAUUGUUAAAAUAGUAGACAUAGGGUGACCAGACGUCCCGUUUUUCCCGGGACAGUCCCAUAUUUCAGAUCUAUUUUUAGU